Molecule: RNA transcript, 1802 nt
Organism: Camellia sinensis
Lineage: Eukaryota; Viridiplantae; Streptophyta; Magnoliopsida; Ericales; Theaceae
Gene name: putative E3 ubiquitin-protein ligase LUL4
Source: RefSeq, a predicted model, not a curated record
CCUCCCUCUCUCUCUCUCUCUCUUUUUCCUUUUACUCUUUCUUCGGUUACCAACUCGACGCUGUACACGCCAAGUCCCACCAUCGCCUGCAUCCAUCCAUCUCUCUCAAAACCCACAGCACAAAUCUCCCACUCUCUCUCUCUCUAAAGAUGGGCCAUUCAUGGAGCUCUAGAAGACGACACAACCGCCAAAACCAUCGUCACCACCAUCAAAUCCAAUCUCUCCCUCAACCCCCUCCCCCUCCUCCUGUUACUUUCCCUCCUCCACCACCGCCGCCACCGCCGCCAAGCUAUGCCUUCGCCGCCAACUCCCCUUAUCCUAUGCUCCCCGCUCCGUCCCCCCCUUCUCAUCACCCCCAUCACUCCAGCGCCUACAAUUACGCCAGACCCAUGAUGGCUCAGUCCAGUUAUCACCCCUCUUACAUCAAUCACACUAAUGCCUGGCCAGGAUUUCGGCCUCCUCCUCCGCCGCCGCCGUAUGUGGAUCAUCAGAGCGCCAAGAAGAUCAAGAACGAUGUGAAUAUUCACAAGGAUACUAUUAGGAUUGAAGUGGACGAGUUUAACCCUGAAUACCACUUGGUUUCUUUCACUUUUGAUGCUAUGGUUGAUGGCUGUAUCACCAUUUUUUACUUCAGCAAAGAAGGGGCCAACUGUACCUUCACUCCAGUAUACCCAGAGAUCCAUAUGCCUGUGAGUAUUCCUUUUCAGAAAGGACUGAGGCAGAAAUUUUGUCAGUCGUCGGGAACUGGCAUUGACUUGGGCUUUUUUGACAUAAUUGACCUAUCGAAGCCUUUACGAGGAGAAGAUGUUUUCCCACUUGUUAUAUCAGCAGAAUCAAUUUUACCAUCUCUGGCAAAGGACGCGCAGCUUGAUGAGUCAACAGUGACUAUAGCUCCAAAUGCACAGAUUACUCAAGCUGUCUUGGAGAAGAAUGACGAGAGCCAUUUUCAAGUAAAAGUAAUCAAGCAGAUUCUGUGGGUUGAUGCUGUUCGCUAUGAGUUACGUGAGAUUUAUGGAAUCAGCAGUUCAAAUGACGUGACCAUCAAUGACAAUGAUUCGGGAAAGGAAUGUGUGAUUUGCAUGACUGACCCGAAGGAUACUGCCAUUUUGCCAUGUAGACAUAUGUGCAUGUGCAGCGAGUGUGCCAAAGCAUUGAGACUUCAAUCCGAUAAGUGUCCAAUAUGUCGCCAGCCUAUUGAAGAACUCAUAGAGAUUAAGGUUGAUGAAGUACAAUCAUGACCUUGGGGUUUAUCAGGACAAAAAGCACCUGUACAGAGGAAGAAAUAAGAAGACAUACAGCAUUGUUUGAGGAAUUUGAUCGCCAAACAGAGAAGCAAUUCAGCUGAUGGUCUGAAGUGACAUUUGUCAAAUAUAUGAAUAUAUGAUGAAUACUUCCCCUCCCCCAUCCUCUUUUUUAAUUCAUUUUCUUAUUUUGAUAAAAAAAAAUAUGUCUUCUGUGAAAGUAGGGUAUAUGUGAAAACUAUAACAUGAAAACAAAAAGUUGGGAAUAUUGCCCUAGAACUAGUAGAGUGAGAAUGUGAACUUGAGGAGGGGAGGGAAUCAUAGAAUGAGUGAGUGAGUUUUACUUGUAAUUGGGGAACAUAAAUGGAAUUGGGGACAAUAAGAGAUAAGUGAAAAAAAUUUAGCUUUUUAUGUCUGCCACUUUUUUUUUUUCCCUUUUCCUUUAUCUUCAUAAAUCUCUAUUGAAAUUCAUGAUCCAAACACAGCCAAAAGGAAAUAUGGAUCUUUGUUGUAUUCUUUACAGUUGAGAGGUAUUGUCUUUUAACCAUCCUUGCCAGCUGA